RNAcentral lists this transfer RNA (76 nucleotides) under bacterium. RNAcentral describes it as "tRNA-Thr". It matches the Rfam family "tRNA". From Rfam's summary of the family: Transfer RNA (tRNA) molecules are approximately 80 nucleotides in length. Their secondary structure includes four short double-helical elements and three loops (D, anti-codon, and T loops). Further hydrogen bonds mediate the characteristic L-shaped molecular structure. tRNAs have two regions of fundamental functional importance: the anti-codon, which is responsible for specific mRNA codon recognition, and the 3' end, to which the tRNAs corresponding amino acid is attached (by aminoacyl-tRNA synthetases). tRNAs cope with the degeneracy of the genetic code in two manners: having more than one tRNA (with a specific anti-codon) for a particular amino acid; and 'wobble' base-pairing, i.e. permitting non-standard base-pairing at the 3rd anti-codon position. The record is from RNAcentral.
GCCACUUUAGCUCAGUUGGUAGAGCAGUCCCUUCGUAAGGGAAAGGUCUCCGGUUCGAGUCCGGAAAGUGGCUCCA